RNAcentral lists this long non-coding RNA (1374 nucleotides) under Vulpes vulpes (red fox). Its description in RNAcentral is "lncRNA (ENSVVUG00000003794.1)". Lineage: Eukaryota; Metazoa; Chordata; Mammalia; Carnivora; Canidae. The record is from RNAcentral.
ACUUUUUUUCUUAGAAUACUGCUAGAGAGAGUUAAGUUUCCUGCAAGGCUGUUCAGCACUUCAGCUGGAGUCAUAGCAUAGUUUGUUUGUUUGUUUGUUUAUUUAUUUAUUUAUUUCAUAGCAUAGUUUAAGUCAAAAGAACUCAAUAUAGAAUACUCAAUUUCACGAGAUUCAAAGAUACUAGCUUUAUCAGUACCACAAAUGGCAUGAAAUAAAACAUAUAAGCAUGUGAAACUGUUUUAAUUAUAAAAAUAGAAUUUAUUUAAAUUAUAUACACAUUUAAAUACACACAGAAUGCAUGAUACAUUUACUUAUUAUAUACAAAUUUUGCUUUUCAACUACAAAGUUAUGUAUACAGUGUAAAGGGUGAUAAGAAUUCCUACAAAGCCCUCGCUGUAUUUCUUUGACCAUUAAGUCUCAUACUUGUUUUCCUCUCACAAUGACACUACGUCUUAUAAUCCACACACAUAUUACAGCAUUUUCCCCUAAAAAGAAACUCUCAAAGGAUGUUAGUAGACCAGUGUUAUAUCUUAAAAGUAUUGUUAUUUAGAAUCAAGAACAUAUCAUAUUUAAUAAAAGUUUAAUCUAGUUUUCGUAGUUUAUCAUAGCAAUACUUUAUCCAUAUACCUAGCCUUCCUACAUUCCUAGUGAUCUUGAAAUGCAAACUAUGUCACGUUACUGAAUGUGGUCCUCUCUUUUCUAUUUUUUUGUCAGAAAGCCACCAACAUUGAUAAUGCAUUUUUUUUAUCUGCUUCAGAACAGGAUGUUCUGAAUUAUGCCAGCCUACCAGGUCUCGAUCUAUACAACAAAGAUACAUGCAGGAGGAAAAGAUACAUGACUGAGUUGUAUUUCAGACUGACAACCAGGACAAUUUUAUGGAAAAUACUGUUUCGUAAGUGUAAGCAUUCAAAUAUUAAAAUUCACGAUACUAAAAAAAAUAAAACUAGGCAUAUACCUUGGACCUAAAUUUUUAUCAGGUAAUGCUGACUCAGUUAAUCAUUGUAAUAUUAAGUAAUCACUGUAAAUUAAGUGCAUUAUUAAAUGAUUUAAAAUGUCUAGCCAAUAGUUAAAGAAAAAGUCUCACAAGCUGAAUGAGCUUGGAUGAAUUAAGAAUUUAGGAUUAAAAAAAUGAAACCAUAAAAGAAAAAAAUUAUAAUUGAAUAAUAUAAUAAUAUAAUCCUGGAUAGGAAAGGACCUCCUAAAAAAAAGAAAACAAAAAACGGAAAGGACCUCCUAGGGCACCUGGGUGGCUCAGUGGUUGAGCAGACAUCUGCCUUUUGCUCAGGUUGUGAUCCUGGGGUCCUGGGACCGAGUCCCACACCCUCCCUCUGCCUAUGUCUAUGCUUCUCCCUCUGCCUAUGUCUCUGCCUCUCU